GGAUUAGAUACCCUGGUAGUCCACGCAGUAAACGGUGAUCACUAGGUGUUGCGGGUAACCACUCCUGCAGUGCCGCAGCUAACGCAUUAAGUAUCCCGCCUGGGGAGUACGGCCGCAAGGCUAAAACUCAAAGGAAUUGACGGGGGCUCACACAAGCGGUGGAGCAUGUGGCUUAAUUCGAAACAACGCGAAGAACCUUAUCCUGGGUUUGACAUGUAUGGAUUAACUCUAUGAAAGUAGAGCCACGCCUUCGGGUGGAACAUACACAGGUGCUGCAUGGCUGUCGUCAGCUCGUGCUG
This 299-nucleotide ribosomal RNA is filed under the name uncultured bacterium. Its description in RNAcentral is "partial 16S ribosomal RNA". It matches the Rfam family "Bacterial small subunit ribosomal RNA", at positions 775 to 1067 of the family's 1533-position model. The record is from RNAcentral.